CAAGGCGGCGGGGGGGGGGGGGUGUGUGCUGACGUCAUCGCCAAGGUCAGGACGACGCCACCCAGGUUCAGGCCGCCAGGGCUCGCUCAAAGGCCUUACCCACCACACACACUGCAGCUCAUUCACAGCCAGAGAAGCAGCAGCCAAAUUGUAAUUAGAGGCCGGAGGAGGAGCCACAGGGACCAUCUCAGGAUUUAUGCCUGAGCGGUGGUGAUGUGGAGAGAGCCCUCUGUCCUGACGCAGGAUGGGAUGCAAAUGUCAUAAUUCAACGCGUCUUGAGGGUCUCAAAAGGGAACAGAGAAGAGAGCCGUCUCUUUGUGGUGGUGCCCAUCUCUAAGGAGAGCUCCCUAAAAGCCAUAGCCUCCUAUUGUGUGGCUUCUUCAUACCUGCGGGGAGAAGCCAGUCUCCUCAGGACUAGGGGCAGGUUAGAUAGACAGGAGGUGCUGCCGUGUGGAUCAUGAGUGUCCCUCAAAAGUAUAGUGCCUAAAAGCUUGGUCUCAAGUCUGUGAUGCUAUUGGGAACUGGUGGGAUGCUUAGGAGAGGAGACAGGGAGGAG
Molecule: long non-coding RNA, 556 nt
Filed under: Mus pahari (shrew mouse)
Lineage: Eukaryota; Metazoa; Chordata; Mammalia; Rodentia; Muridae
Description: lncRNA (MGP_PahariEiJ_G0003220.1)
Source: RNAcentral